AUGCCUUUCUUAUCUCCUUGGAUAUCAUCUCCAUUGCCUAGUACAUGUCCCUCCCCACUUGCAUCUGGAUAUCCCACGCUGGUGGCUGUGCCACCUCCAUGUCCUGGUGAAGGACAGGCUGGCUGGAGCACUUCACAGGGGACGGCUGGGCUGUUGGUGCUGGCCCUUCUCACUUGGCCUGCAGCCUUCUGUACCACACUUGGCAUUGAAAAAUCAUUGCUGCCAUACACAGAGUGAAUGCCUUAUCUGAGUUUUUGACAGGAGGCAUCUAAGACCUUACUGUGGUACAGGAAUUAUAUGUGCUUUAGUCCCAGCUUUUUCGCUCUGAUAGUAUUUUAGCUACAAAACCCAGAUGUACCAGGGCUGCUUCUGUGUUCUAGUGCAUACACAUGUUGCCUUCGGUAGGCUAGUUUGAGUUUUGGUGACUUGUUUUGCUAAGGAGAACUGAUUGUGUAUCAGGAAAAUGCCUGCUAGCAACAACUUUGAGAUCAGUGCUGCACUGUGCUUGACACAGAAGAACAAUCUUUCCUUCUUCAGGGAAGGAGGAAAUAAGCAGGACAACACAGUGGUGGUUUUAUACCAACAUGGCAGUUUCACACUGAAAGAUGGAAAGACUAAAAAAAGAAGACAGAGUUUGAUUUAUUUUAGCUUAAAAAAGCAAAAACUGUGGAAAAUUCCAGAGAUUUGAAGAUUUGAAUCUAACUUGUAAUUCAGUCCUCAGUGGGCAGGAGAGAUGUACGCUUCAGUAAAAUUGCAAGGAAGUGGCUGCCAUUAUCAAGGACCUUUCUGGCUGAAGGAAGACAGUGUCAUACAUCUUUCAUUAACAAGCUGAAUUACCCGUUUUGGUUAUUUGUGUGCAUAAUAGUCAAUUUUAGUAUUCAUCCUUUAAAAAUCUGGAAAUCAUGCAACACACACCCACAAAAGCUGUCUGCAGCCCGCGUGGCCAACAAGUCAGCAAGUCCACCAGAGACAAAUUAAUGGUCUGUGAGUAAAGAUCAAACAAUACUCUGAUUGAUUUGUUACAGGUUCUCUGUCUAUGUUUCAUCUGGCUCAGCAUUUAUUCAAUUUCCAAGACACAAAACGUAUUCUUUAGCAAUAAUUGUCUUCAA
This 1109-nucleotide long non-coding RNA is filed under the name Gallus gallus (chicken). Lineage: Eukaryota; Metazoa; Chordata; Aves; Galliformes; Phasianidae. The record is from RNAcentral.